AUGCAGUUUUUCAUAAAACCUCUUCCACUCACAGUUACUUUUGCAGUUUCAUUCCUAAUUCACCAUAUUAAUGGGCAAUUUGAGUUGGACACAAACUCAGAUAAUGAAAGAGUCCCAAAGGUUCGGUUCAAAGCAGCUCCUGCACCCGUGCGAGACACGUUAUUUGAGACCUUUAGAGACAAAAAUAUUUUCCUGAUUGAUCCUGAUUUUCCUGGCCCAAAGAGAUUUCGCAGAUCGGUGGCAGCAGCAACAGCACAUAAAACUGAUCAUUCAAGAAAAGGCCAUGCAUCUCACAGACAUGAGCAUAACAACGAGCACAAUCAUACUCACGUGAACAAAAGUGAGGACAAACAAGAGGACAAACAGGCUCAUGUUACGCAUACUCAUGCCAAGGAGACGACAACUGCCUCUGAUUACAGUAAGGACAAGGCAAAAGAUGCCGGAGUGACUUCAGCAACGUCAGCUUUAUCAGACAAGAACAAAACACACGUUGCCCAAGAGGAACAUAACCAUGAGGCAGCAAUAGUAAAACAGCAGGACGAAGAGAAAGAUGCCAAUGAGAACUACGACGGCGAUUUCAGUGCUGAUAUCAUUGAGCCUCCUUCAUCUCCAGAUAUUACUCAACUAAGUGAAACUUGCUUGCAAGUAAAAUGGACGUCAGGUUCGCCAAGGGACAGAGGGGUAAAAGGAUACAAAGUUGAAUACCUUAAGGGAAAUCUCAGCCACAUUGUCGGUGGGAGGCAUAAUUGGCAUGUAGUUGCGAAGAAAGCCAAGCCGAAGUUCAGAGUUUUGAGAGUGGAUGGUCUGGAGCCAGAAGCGAUGUACAGAUUUAGGAUCGCAACGAUCUACGCUGGAAAUAAGUAUAUUUACGGUCUCUCCUCAGGAUGGGUAAAACUCCAACGAUAUAGCUGA
Molecule: long non-coding RNA, 912 nt
Filed under: Bemisia tabaci
Lineage: Eukaryota; Metazoa; Arthropoda; Insecta; Hemiptera; Aleyrodidae
Description: lncRNA ENSASIAIIG013006
Source: RNAcentral